CAGCCGCCACGGGAAUACGAAGGGUGCGAGCGUUAAUCGGAAUUACUGGGCGUAAAGCGUGCGUAGGCGGUUUGUUAAGUCUGUUGUGAAAUCCCCGGGCUCAACCUGGGAAUGGCAAUGGAUACUGGCAAGCUAGAGUGUGGUAGAGGAUAGUGGAAUUUCCGGUGUAGCAGUGAAAUGCGUAGAGAUCGGAAGGAACAUCUGUGGCGAAGGCGACUAUCUGGGCCAACACUGACACUGAGGCACGAAAGCGUGGGGAGCAAACAGGAUUAGAUACCCCUGUAGUCCCUGUCUCUUAUAA
RNAcentral lists this ribosomal RNA (301 nucleotides) under uncultured bacterium. RNAcentral describes it as "partial 16S ribosomal RNA". It matches the Rfam family "Bacterial small subunit ribosomal RNA", at positions 509 to 809 of the family's 1533-position model. The record is from RNAcentral.